RNAcentral lists this ribosomal RNA (399 nucleotides) under uncultured bacterium. RNAcentral describes it as "bacterial SSU rRNA". It matches the Rfam family "Bacterial small subunit ribosomal RNA", at positions 28 to 429 of the family's 1533-position model. The record is from RNAcentral.
GACGAACGCUGGCGGCGUGCUUAACACAUGCAAGUCGAGCGGUAAGGUCCUUUCGGGGGUACACGAGCGGCGAACGGGUGAGUAACACGUGGGUGACCUGCCCUCAGCUCUGGGAUAAGCCUGGGAAACCGGGUCUAAUACCGGAUAUGACUCCAUGACGCAUGUUGUGGGGUGGAAAGCCUUGUGCGGCUGAGGAUGGGCCCGCGGCCUAUCAGCUUGUUGGUGGGGUGAUGGCCUACCAAGGCGACGACGGGUAGCCGGCCUGAGAGGGCGACCGGCCACACUGGGACUGAGACACGGCCCAGACUCCUACGGGAGGCAGCAGUGGGGAAUCUUGGACAAUGGGGGCAACCCUGAUCCAGCGACGCCGCGUGUGUGAAGAAGGCCUUCGGUUGUAAG